UGCCAGCCGCCGCGGUAAUACGAAGGGACCUAGCGUAGUUCGGAAUUACUGGGCUUAAAGAGUUCGUAGGUGGUUGAAAAAGUUGGUGGUGAAAUCCCAGAGCUUAACUCUGGAACUGCCAUCAAAACUUUUCAGCUAGAGUUUGAUAGAGGAAAGCAGAAUUUCUAGUGUAGAGGUGAAACUCGUAGAUAUUAGAAAGAAUACCAAUUGCGAAAGCAGAUUACUAACAAUAUACUGACGCUGAGGGACGAAAGCGUGGGUAGCGAACAGGAUUAGAUA
Molecule: ribosomal RNA, 279 nt
Filed under: uncultured bacterium
Lineage: Bacteria
Description: partial 16S ribosomal RNA
Rfam family: Bacterial small subunit ribosomal RNA
Source: RNAcentral